Molecule: long non-coding RNA, 1212 nt
Organism: Helianthus annuus (common sunflower)
Lineage: Eukaryota; Viridiplantae; Streptophyta; Magnoliopsida; Asterales; Asteraceae
Exons: 3
Source: RefSeq, a predicted model, not a curated record
GAGUGUGCGUGUGUGUAUAUACGAUCGAUCAAGGACAGAGGGUGAGGUGAAACCCUAGUUUCACCAAAAUCCAUCAAAUUGAAGGGGGAUUGAAGGGCUAAACUAAUGCAUGAACCAAGAUUUUCGAUCACUUUAGCGUUUCUACCAUCAUGAACGUGUCAAGGAGAGGUCAAGCAUAGGAGGAUAACGGGUCAAGAUAAGGCAAGGUGACAAAUACACUUAUUGGAGUACUCGAGGUAAGUGAAUUUCGAUUCACUUUUUAGUAGGUUUAAUAGAUUUUAAUACUUAUGUUUACGAAACAUCAUGAAAGAACAUGUAAUAAUCAGAAGUACAAAGCUAAUAAUGCCUCAUUAUUGAAGAAGGUUGUAUUUAAGCCGAAAGUAAAUUGGUGGGUUUAAACGGGUCGAAUUUUAUGUGCAUAUGUUGCGUAAUGUAAUGAAAUUCGUUAUGGUUAAGACCUUGGGUAAGAAUUUUUAGUCAUUAUGUAAGGGGAACAUUUCCCGGACCAUUAGGAACAAGUUUUAUAUGAUUCGGUUGUCGGUUAGUGAAUGAACGGAUUGUUUCGUGUUAGUGUAGGAAAUUUUAUAAGUAUAUGUGUAUAGGAAUCCAAAGGGCACGUGGGUUGAAUCAUAGAUUGUCUAUACUAUGUAAAGUUGUGAAUGUGACAUUCCGGCAUAAACCUACAUGUAAAAGAAGCUUGUGUAUAUAUUCGUGAUUAAUUGAUUGUGCGUAGGAAGGAACAUUGGCAUGUAUGAAGGUACGCAUGUAUAUAUAUAAGUGUAUAUAUAUAUAUAUGUAUGUAUGUAUGAUAAUAAGUACGUAGGUGUGAAUGUAUGUGUGAAUGAAUGUUCAAUGCUUAAGACAUAUGCAUGAACGUUAUCAAAGUGUUCGAGUAUUUAUGGUUACUAAUGAUGUGCGUUGAGUUGGAAUGUAAUGUAGGUAUGGGAUCGUUGGCUUCAUGAAGAGAUGGAGCUGGAUUUGGAUAAGAGUAUCGCUUGGGUUUUCUCUACAUUUAUUGAAGUGAAGCGGACUUAGUUCGAGUUGAGAGCAAGGAUUGUACGGGGUAGAAUGGUCACAUAGUGUAACUAAUAUAGGUUUUGAAGUAUUAAUGUUAUAAAACGUUAUAAAUCCGUUUUAAUGAAUAUAUGGCAUUUCGCAUUUGAACCUUCAUGUGUUUGAUAUGUCUAUUAAAGAACGAAAUUUUUGGGCUCU